UGUGCGUUUUUCUAUUUAAAGAUCAGACAGGGCUUACACGCAGACACCAUUCAAGCCUGUAGCUUCUAAGAACUGGGUGCUAAAUCCGGUCUCUUCGGCCCUCACUUUCCAUCAACACAGGAGAUGUUCUUGUUGACAACCGAGGGUUCUUUUUUCCACUGCCAGCUGCACAGGAAGGAGCGGCAAUCGGGGAGCUGCCUGCCCCCCUCCCCCCGGGCUGGGCUCCGGAGGGGUCAACAUCACCAACUCCCUCUCUGCAUCCAUGCCAGGGUGAGAGGAGACGGCGAUGCUCACCCACCGUUCUUAGAAUCCCAUUUGAAACCAGCUGUGCUGAGUGGCAGUCCCAAGCCAAUAGGGGCGUCGGAAGAUGGACACGGGACACACCUGCAGGACCAGUCCACCUGAAGCCAGCUGGGAGAUGAGUCUGCUGACAUCAUCCUCUUGAAAUCUUGGUGGAGGGACAAAACACCCCCACGCUGAGUGCCCAUUUUCAGAGGAUUAAGGACUAGUCAGUCAGAAAGCCAGGCAGCCUGUAGCCAGAGCUCUGCCCACUGGGGGACACGUGAGCGGCUCUAAAUUUCCUCCUUUCCUUGGGGCGACCACGCUCCAGGAAAGCAGCCUAUUCGUGCUCUAGCUAUCACAGGCAAAACUGGAAGUGCAGCGCCACACCGGCCCUCCGGCCCCCAGAGGAAGACCGGAGCUGGGCUACUCAGGAGAGGAGCUGGGCAUCCUAACUCUGCUCCAGCAGGCAGUGCUCAGACAGGACAGGACAGGCCUCUCCCUGCAGCUCUCCCUCUACCCCAGCUUUUCGAAGAGAAAGCAAACAGACCCUUGACCAGAUGGAGCCUUCCUCGCUAAUAAACCUAGCCUAAGGCUGAGACACGUUCAAGAAGAAGCAGAAAAUUACCUUUCAGGAAGCCAACGUGAGGGUCUCUCCAUGUAGCCCUGGCUGGCCUAGAACUCUUGUCUCUGCCUGCUGAGUGCUAGGAUUCAAGUCUGGUGCCACCACACAGGACUCUCAGCUGCAAGGUGAAGGUGCCUAGGAGCCUCAGGCAGCAGCCACCAGUACAGGGUGCGGCAGAGAAGCGAGUGGGGGCCAGGAAGGUUCUGGAACACACAUCCCACCAAGGAGCAGAGCCUGCCGAGGCCAGGGCAACGGCAGGGUGGGCCUGCAGCCAGGCCCACAACCUUGGUGGCAAUUUGCCUCUCACCUUUUCCACGGCCUGCCUAGCUAUUUAUAGCCAUCCUCUCUAUCUGAAAACUACUUUGACCAUUUUUUUCUGAGCUGGACGGACUUGUAAACUGAAGUCAGGAGGACCCCACCUUCUUCGUAUCCAGGAGGCUUCACGAUGUGGCCAUACUUGGUCUGCCUGUACCCUUGCCUUGUGAUGGGUUCCCAGGGCCUGUGAGAGUCACAGGUGACUCAUCCUCCGCCAGGUGUGUGGUGCUCACAGGCAGACCUCAACUUGAGGUGCUAGAAGAUGGGGAUCCUAUAAAGCCCAGGUCACCUCAGGGUUACUCUCUGCUCUAGGAGGAAUGAGCAUACUGUGACAGUGGCUGAACAGCUGUACCUUUAAAUGAUCUGGCCCACAGAUAUGAAAAACAUUCGCACUCUGUGGCUGUUUGCAUCUCUGGUUAUUUUUAGGGUGAACCCAGUUGCCUCCCCUUGGAACCGGAUGAAGCCCCAGAGGAGGCACGUAGUCCUUUUUCCCAGAUGGGGGGUCCUGCUCCUGUUUCCCUGGGAAUGAAGUCCUGAACAUGAGCUGUCUGGGGGAACCGCCCCCCAGCAUUACACAAUGCACUCCGCUCGGGCUCACUUGAGGGACCUGUGUACCAGGAACAGCUUUGCUACUGUUGUGACGAUCUGCUGCUGACAUCGGGCCACCCACCCGCACCCGGAGAGCCCCUGGCCACCCCCGGGGUCUGAAGGGAAGAAGCCGUGAUGCAAUCCCCUACCUCCACCCAUCAGCCCCAGCCGAUGGGAAUGUCUGGCUGGCGUAUUUCUAGAACAAGCAGCAAUUAGAGGCGAUUUUCUCUCCUGCCCCCCCUCCCCAAAACAGAAAUAAAUCAGUGCUACCAAUCUCCCA
Molecule: non-coding RNA, 2087 nt
Organism: Peromyscus maniculatus bairdii (prairie deer mouse)
Lineage: Eukaryota; Metazoa; Chordata; Mammalia; Rodentia; Cricetidae
Source: RefSeq, a predicted model, not a curated record